AUUGAACGCUGGCGGCAGGCCUAACACAUGCAAGUCGAACGGUAACAGGAAGCAGCUUGCUGCUUCGCUGACGAGUGGCGGACGGGUGAGUAAUGUCUGGGAAGCUGCCUGAUGGAGGGGGAUAACUACUGGAAACGGUAGCUAAUACCGCAUAAUGUCGCAAGACCAAAGAGGGGGACCUUCGGGCCCCUGGCAAUCGGUUUUGCCCAGAUGGGAUUAGCUUGUUGGUGGGGUAACGGCCAACCAAGGCGACGAUCCCUAGCUGGUCUGAGAGGAUGACCAGCCACACUGGGACUGAGACACGGUCCAGACUCCUACGGGAGGCAGCAGUGGGGAAUAUUGCACAAUGGGCGCAAGCCUGAUGCAGCCAUGCCGCGUGUAUGAAGAAGGCCUUCGGGUUGUAAAGUACUUUCAGCGGGGAGGAAGGGAGUAAAGUUAAUACCUUUGCUCAUUGACGUUACCCGCAGAAGAAGCACCGGCUAACUCCGUG
This 490-nucleotide ribosomal RNA is filed under the name uncultured bacterium. RNAcentral's name for it is "partial 16S ribosomal RNA". It matches the Rfam family "Bacterial small subunit ribosomal RNA", at positions 30 to 507 of the family's 1533-position model. The record is from RNAcentral.